AGCAGUGGGGAAUAUUGCACAAUGGGCGGAAGCCUGAUGCAGCAACGCCGCGUGAGGGAUGACGGCCUUCGGGUUGUAAACCUCUUUUAGCAGGGAAGAAGCGAAAGUGACGGUACCUGCAGAAAAAGCGCCGGCUAACUACGUGCCAGCAGCCGCGGUAAUACGUAGGGCGCAAGCGUUAUCCGGAAUUAUUGGGCGUAAAGAGCUCGUAGGCGGUUUGUCGCGUCUGCUGUGAAAUCCCGAGGCUCAACCUCGGGCCUGCAGUGGGUACGGGCAGACUAGAGUGCGGUAGGGGAGAUUGGAAUUCCUGGUGUAGCGGUGGAAUGCGCAGAUAUCAGGAGGAACACCGAUGGCGAAGGCAGAUCUCUGGGCCGUAACUGACGCUGAGGAGCGAAAGGGUGGGGAGCAAACAGGCUUAGAUACCCUGGUAGUCCACCCCGUAAACGUUGGGAACUAGUUGUGGGGACCAUUCCACGGUUUCCGUGACGCAGCUAACGCA
RNAcentral lists this ribosomal RNA (499 nucleotides) under uncultured Microbacterium sp. Its description in RNAcentral is "bacterial SSU rRNA". It matches the Rfam family "Bacterial small subunit ribosomal RNA", at positions 350 to 859 of the family's 1533-position model. The record is from RNAcentral. Lineage: Bacteria; Bacillati; Actinomycetota; Actinomycetes; Micrococcales; Microbacteriaceae.